This 523-nucleotide ribosomal RNA is filed under the name uncultured Nitrobacter sp. Its description in RNAcentral is "bacterial SSU rRNA". It matches the Rfam family "Bacterial small subunit ribosomal RNA", at positions 355 to 896 of the family's 1533-position model. The record is from RNAcentral. Lineage: Bacteria; Pseudomonadati; Pseudomonadota; Alphaproteobacteria; Hyphomicrobiales; Nitrobacteraceae.
UGGGGAAUAUUGGACAAUGGGCGCAAGCCUGAUCCAGCCAUGCCGCGUGAGUGAUGAAGGCCCUAGGGUUGUAAAGCUCUUUUGUGCGGGAAGAUAAUGACGGUACCGCAAGAAUAAGCCCCGGCUAACUUCGUGCCAGCAGCCGCGGUAAUACGAAGGGGGCUAGCGUUGCUCGGAAUUACUGGGCGUAAAGGGUGCGUAGGCGGGUCUUUAAGUCACCGGUGAAAUCCUGGAGCUCAACUCCAGAACUGCCUUUGAUACUGAGGAUCUUGAGUUCGGGAGAGGUGAGUGGAACUGCGAGUGUAGAGGUGAAAUUCGUAGAUAUUCGCAAGAACACCAGUGGCGAAGGCGGCUCACUGGCCCGAUACUGACGCUGAGGCACGAAAGCGUGGGGAGCAAACAGGAUAAGAUACCCUGGUAGUCCACGCCGUAAACGAUGAAUGCCAGCCGUUAGUGGGUUUACUCACUAGUGGCGCAGCUAACGCUUUAAGCAUUCCGCCUGGGGAGUACGGUCGCAAGAUUA